UUUAUGACGUCAUUAACAUAAAACAUGGUGGAUCUGGAAGUAAUAAGUGAAGUUUUUAGGUUUCACUCACUGUUCAACUGAGGUGGAAGUGUGUAUGAUUUCAAGAAACAUGGCUGUGUUUACUUGAUUAAAUUUAGUUUAUUGAAAUGUUGAUUUCGAGAAGUGUAGUGAGUAAAACGAGUUUGCCCCUGAAGAAGAAAAGCACACCUUUCGAAAGCGCUCGGGUUAUAAUUUAUACUUAUAAGUUAUAGGGUUUUUAUUUAUUUCUGUCAAGACUUCCUGAACAUACGUGUCUUUCUAACAUCAUGAGUUAAAGUAUAUUAUAAGGUGGCUAUAUUUUAUACAGAACAGCCACGGUUCCUUUCACUAUGCGUUAGUCCUAACUUAGUAACUAGUAGUACUUGUAAGUUGUACUGUAGUAGUACAUUUAGUAGUAAACAAGUAGUAGUUCUAGUGCUAAAUUAGUAAAUUCAGUAUCGUUUAUGCUAUUAAAAUCUAACUUUACAAUAACAAUUACAACUUACAAACAACAGUUUUACUUUUAGUUUUAUUAUUAUUACUAGUGGUAGUACCGUAACUGGUGUUAAGUGUUACAACUUAGCUGUUACAGUGUUAGUAUUGGAUUAUUAAGCCUACUACAUGACUCAAGUACAGCUUAUUCUAUUAGUUUUAACUGUUUAUUAAUUAACAUAGUAUCUAUUCUAUUAAGGUUUCUUCAAAAAUUCAAUUUAAAGUACCAAGUCUUGUUGCUUACUUAUGCCAUUAAUUGCAACAUUAUUUUUUUGCUAAUUACUUUUUUAAUGAUUUAUAUCCAAUCACUAUAACCUUACCAUGGGAUAAGUAUUUAGAAAAAUAGGUAUCUGAUUGGAUGAUUAAAACUAAUUCAAUCCAAUGGUUUUGUGUAAGAACAUUUUGUAUAGAAAUGAAAUUAAGAGAAAUGCGGUAAUAAAAUAGUUAAACUGAUGGCCAAAUUGUUGGAAAAAAAUGGUUCUGAAGAUGAUGUUGCUUUGAUUCUAAAACAUCUUAAUAUAAGUGAAUGGGCAGAUGUGUUACCAAUGUGUUUCAGUACUGAGGAAUGCACCGAAGGUACAGAUAUCAAGAAAAAUCUAACAUUUUGUAUGAGGUUAAUCAAGAUGUGAAAAGGAAGAAAGGUUAGAUGAGGUUAUUGAUGUAAGGAACGUCAUGGACUGAAGAUACAGAAAGAGCUUAUCUGGUGCAGGAGAAACAUGAAGAUUUGGAAGACAUAACAUUAAAUGUCAUUACUCAGAUAGGUGUGAAACCUUUCAUUGAGUAUCUGACUACGAUUUAUAAUGAAACACGGGAAAAUGUUACCAAACAAGUGACGUCUGCUGAGCUAGUCUUCAGAGAGGAUUGUAUCUACUGUUUGUAAUAAAGGAGAAAAGACAUGUUCAGUGUUUAGAUAUCAGUCCUGUGGUAAAGAGAGUUAGUAAGAAGACUAAAUAUUAUGUUCAAUGUUUAGAUAUCAGUCCUGUGGUAAAGAGUUAAUAAGAAGACUAAAUAUUAUGUUCAGUGUUAAGAUAUCAGUCCUGUGGUAAAGAGUUAAUAAGAAGACUAAAUAUUAUGUUCAGUGUUAAGAUAUCAGUCCUGUGGUAAAGAGUUAAUAAGAAGACUAAAUAUGAUGUUCAGUGUUAAGAUAUCAGUCCUGUGGUAAAGAGUUAAUAAGAAGACUAAAUAUUAUGUUCAGUGUUAAGAUAUCAGUCCUGUGGUAAAGAGUUAAUAAGAAGAUUAAAUAUUAUGUUCAGUGUUAAGAUAUCAGUCCUGUGGUAAAGAGAGUUAGUAAGAAGAUUAAAUAUUAUGUUCAGUGUUUAAAUAUCAGUCCUGUGGUAAAGAGUUAAUAAGAAAACUAAAUAUUAUGUUCAGUGUUAAGAUAUCAGUCCUGUGGUAAAGAGUUAAUAAGAAGACUAAAUAUUAUGUUUAGUGUUUAAAUAUCAGUCCUGUGGUAAAGAGAGUUAGUAAGAAGAUUAAAUAUUAUGUUCAGUGUUAAGAUAUCAGUCUUGUGGUAAAGAGUUAAUAAGAAGAUUAAAUAUUAUGUUCAGUGUUAAGAUAUCAGUCCUGUGGUAAAGAGUUAAUAAGAAGACUAAAUAUUAUGUUCAGUGUUUAGAUAUCAGUCCUGUGGUAAAGAGAGUUAGUGGAGUGUUUAUUUUAAACAGCCACAAUACAAUAGAAUAUGGACGAGUGUGUACCGUGUGCGGCAAAACGUUCAGCAAAGAAGCCAACAUGAUUCGCCAUUUACAGAUUCAUACGUUACGAACAGUCACGUGCGACUUGUGUGGGUUUCGCUGCUCACGCUCAGAUAGUUUGAAAAGACAUAAGAGAGGACAGCAUGGAGUAGAUAUUUAGGAAUAUUCUGAAACUCUCAGUAUUUAUAAUUGCUCAACCAAGUCAAUAGAAAGUCAUAAUUUACCCUCUGCAGCAAAGAGAGUAUCUAUUUUACAUCUCCGUGAUUUGUACUCUAUGGAAUCAUGGGGAUUUUGGCAACAAAACAGAAACUGGUGUUAGGACUGUGGUUGCUUACAGUCACUGAAACGUCUCGUGUGUGUCUACAAAACAAGAUGAUGUACACCAUUGUUAUUGGUUGUUCAUGUUUAGUUGUGGUUGCUUACAGUCACUGAAGUGUCUUGUGUGUGUCUACAAAACAAGAUGAUGAUGUACACCAUUGUUAUUGGUUGUUCAUGUUUAAUUGUAGAAGUUUUUACUGAUAGGUGUAUUCCUGCAGAUAAUUUAGAAAUAUUUUACAGAACAACAUUGAUAACAACCUCUAACAAAAUAAACGAAUCACCUUGAAUGUUUUAACAGUUUUUAUUCACUGUAUUUUUAUUUACACACAGCUUCAGACAUGUCAGCAAUCAUAAAAUUUUCUAAUCACAUUUUUUUUCUAGUGUAUAGUCCGAACAUAAUGUUCUUAAUUUAAAACUAGUUUUUUCUGUGACUCCUGUUUAUAUGAUUGACAUUAAAUACUUCUCUUUAUUUGACAGGUAUGUCGAUCAUUGUUUUCUAUGUAUUACUUUCGGUAUAUUCAUACACAGAUGUAUACCAGGGAAAAAUUCCUAUUUUUACAUUCAUUGAUACUGACAGUGAAACAGGAAGUUGAAACAUGUGGAAAGUAAAUUAUUAUUUACAUAAAAAAUAAUUAUCCAGCCACGUUUGCCAAUAACUAAAUAUAUGUAUUCUAAAACCUCAUUUCUUUUAAUAAAGUAACAAGUUCUGUGAAUUUCAAUGAAAUAAAUUUUACAAUUUUUUCCCACAGUACAAGAUCGUUUUAUAACGGAUUUACCUAACCGAUGGCUUGGUCGGAAAAGUAAUGCUGAACGAGCAGCUAAUCAAUCAAGAUGUACGUAUUGUCAUCAUACAUUUUACAACAGACCCACACUGUUAAGACACAUGCAGCGCCACCUAGUGGACAGGGAGAGGUAUCUGUGUCAUCUCUGUAAUAGUACUUAUUGCAGAAAAGAUUAUCUGAAAAGACAUAUAGAAUUAGUUCAUGGAAAAUAUGUAAAAUAGUCAAUAUUUCUUAUCACAUUCUGUAUUCUAUGUUCCAAUAAAGUUAUAAAUGGAGUAACUAUCCUUCUAGUGCUAUUAACAAAAA
Molecule: long non-coding RNA, 3607 nt
Organism: Limulus polyphemus (Atlantic horseshoe crab)
Lineage: Eukaryota; Metazoa; Arthropoda; Merostomata; Xiphosura; Limulidae
Exons: 4
Source: RefSeq, a predicted model, not a curated record